UCCUUUAUCCCACUUAGACUUGGUCCUGCUUCUCUGUUUCUUUUUUAAUUAUUAUUAUUAUCAUUAUUUCUCCACAUGGCCCACACCCAUUGGGAUCUUAAUGCCUUGACAAAUAAGCCAUGGCUUGACCACAUGUGAGCUCCAUCCCUCCAAGUUGUUGCGACCCCAAGUGUUUAAUUAAUUCUGUGCAGGUGGCAAUGUUUUGUGGGGUUGACUUCAACUGUGAGGCGCAGAUACCCAUACAUCAUGGCACCUUCUUACUGAAGAGAAUCCUAUUGCAAGUUUUCCACAUUGUGGCUCUUUACUCCAUCAUUGAAUCAGUCCAUUUGAUUGUGAUUAUCUUCAUGACAAAAAGAAUGUCUAUCCAUUGUGCAGAGAAAUUAAAUUCACCUAGAGUUUGGCAUCAACAACAGAAAUUCAUAACCAACAAUGUGAAUUGACUGAAAAUUGCUCAACUCAUAUUUCUAACAAGGUUGAACAUAAAGAUAUAAAUGUGUAUUUGUAACUGUAUAACUAUAAGAAUAACUAUAUAAAUAUAUAUAUAUAUAUAUAUAUAUAUAUAUAUAAUUUUAUAAGAACUUUGUUGCAUGUCAUAUUGGUUCCUUACAAUAUCACUAUAAUGCAUUCACAUGUUGCAGACCUAGCAAGUCCAUGGGUUUCAACUUCACAAAGCAACUGUAUCAACUUACUAAACAAAUGAGAAACAUCCAAAACACAAGCAUAACAGUAUUGAGUUAUUGGUUGGGGAAGGUAUUCAUGUGAAGCAUUCCAGUGAACAUAAUGGUAUGCUCAGUGAGCGUUCAUUCCAAGCAUAGGAUUGAACGAUUCACAGGCACUAACCUCGACAGAUGCGACGUUGAGUUGGCCCUCUCGCUGGAUCCGCAACGAGAAAGCUGAGAAUCGGAAGUCCCGUCGGAGGCUGUGAAGUUCUAGCGGAUACCACAGUUCAACACAGUCGCAAUGAUGCUCCGCAUGUUGUUUUGUCUACGAAUGCUGAAAUUUUGGAAAGCGAAACGAUAAUUAGGGGGGAUACAGUCCGUCUUAAUUUAGCUCCUUCAAGAUGAGCGGGUCCGAGAAGUCAGCACGCCUACAUUGUCUGGCUUUGGUGGCACCAAGUGCGCCACCUCAAACAGAGAAAAAACCAGCAUAAAGAAUAAGAAAAAGUAUCAUAUCUUCGACUAGUUUGUGCUAAUUCGGGAGUGGCGAUAUCGCCCCAUGAGAGUGGAUCUGCCGAAAGCGUUGAAAAAGACAACUGGGCUCAGUGCAUGUGCUCGGCACCAAUUGCUUGCAUUGUUAACCAACGGAAGCCGCAGCCUUCCCCCAUCCUACCUAUUCUUUUUCCCAUAGAGGCAGAGAAACCCAG
Molecule: long non-coding RNA, 1363 nt
Filed under: Physcomitrium patens
Lineage: Eukaryota; Viridiplantae; Streptophyta; Bryopsida; Funariales; Funariaceae
Description: long non-coding RNA (PPAT_LNC006119)
Source: RNAcentral